CUCAGAUUGAACGCUGGCGGCAGGCCUAACACAUGCAAGUCGAGCGGUAGAGAGAAGCUUGCUUCUCUUGAGAGCGGCGGACGGGUGAGUAAUGCCUAGGAAUCUGCCUGGUAGUGGGGGAUAACGCUCGGAAACGGACGCUAAUACCGCAUACGUCCUACGGGAGAAAGCAGGGGACCUUCGGGCCUUGCGCUAUCAGAUGAGCCUAGGUCGGAUUAGCUAGUUGGUGAGGUAAUGGCUCACCAAGGCGACGAUCCGUAACUGGUCUGAGAGGAUGAUCAGUCACACUGGAACUGAGACACGGUCCAGACUCCUACGGGAGGCAGCAGUGGGGAAUAUUGGACAAUGGGCGAAAGCCUGAUCCAGCCAUGCCGCGUGUGUGAAGAAGGUCUUCGGAUUGUAAAGCACUUUAAGUUGGGAGGAAGGGCAGUAAAUUAAUACUUUGCUGUUUUGACGUUACCGACAGAAUAAGCACCGGCUAACUCUGUGCCAG
Molecule: ribosomal RNA, 493 nt
Filed under: Pseudomonas migulae
Lineage: Bacteria; Pseudomonadati; Pseudomonadota; Gammaproteobacteria; Pseudomonadales; Pseudomonadaceae
Description: bacterial SSU rRNA
Rfam family: Bacterial small subunit ribosomal RNA
Source: RNAcentral